UACGUAGGCGGAAAAUUAAGUCAGUAGUGAAAUCCCGCAGCUUAACUGUGGAACUGUUAUUGAUACUGGUUUUCUUGAAUAUAGUUGAGGUAGGCGGAAUGUGUAAUGUAGCGGUGAAAUGCUUAGAUAUUACACAGAACACCGAUUGCGAAGGCAGCUUACUAAGCUAUGAUUGACGCUGAGGUACGAAAGCGUGGGGAGCGAACAGGAUUAGAUACCUGGUAGUCC
Molecule: ribosomal RNA, 228 nt
Filed under: uncultured bacterium
Lineage: Bacteria
Description: partial 16S ribosomal RNA
Rfam family: Bacterial small subunit ribosomal RNA
Source: RNAcentral